UCUCUCCACAAACUGCCCAGGAGUGAGUAGCUGCUUUCGGUCCGCCGGACAGACCGGACAGAUAGACGUGCGGACGGCCCACCACCCCAGCCCGCCAACUAGCCAGCCUGCGCCUGGCGCCUCCCCUCUCCAGGUCCAUCCGCCAUGUGGCCCCUGUGGCGCCUCGUGUCUCUGCUGGCCCUGAGCCAGGCCCUGCCCUUUGAGCAGAGAGGCUUCUGGGACUUCACCCUGGACGAUGGGCCGUUCAUGAUGAACGAUGAGGAAGCUUCGGGCGCUGACACCUCGGGCGUCCUGGACCCGGACUCUGUCACACCCACCUACAGUGCCAUGUGUCCUUUCGGCUGCCACUGCCACCUGCGGGUGGUUCAGUGCUCCGACCUGGGUCUGAAGUCUGUGCCCAAAGAGAUCUCCCCUGACACCACGCUGCUGGACCUCUGCAGAAGCUCUACAUCUCCAAGAACCACCUGGUGGAGAUCCCGCCCAACCUACCCAGCUCCCUGGUGGAGCUCCGCAUCCACGACAACCGCAUCCGCAAGGUGCCCAAGGGCGUGUUCAGCGGGCUCCGGAACAUGAACUGCAUCGAGAUGGGCGGGAACCCACUGGAGAACAGUGGCUUUGAACCUGGAGCCUUUGAUGGCCUGAAGCUCAACUACCUGCGCAUCUCAGAGGCCAAGCUGACUGGCAUCCCCAAAGACCUCCCUGAGACCCUGAAUGAACUCCACCUGGACCACAACAAAAUCCAGGCCAUCGAACUGGAGGACCUGCUUCGCUACUCCAAGCUGUACAGGCUGGGCCUAGGCCACAACCAGAUCAGGAUGAUCGAGAACGGGAGCCUGAGCUUCCUGCCCACCCUCCGGGAGCUCCACUUAGACAACAACAAGUUGGCCAGGGUGCCCUCAGGGCUCCCAGACCUCAAGCUCCUCCAGGUGGUCUAUCUGCACUCCAACAACAUCACCAAAGUGGGUGUCAACGACUUCUGUCCCGUGGGCUUCGGGGUGAAGCGGGCCUACUACAACGGCAUCAGCCUCUUCAACAACCCCGUGCCCUACUGGGAGGUGCAGCCGGCCACUUUCCGCUGCGUCACUGACCGCCUGGCCAUCCAGUUUGGCAACUACAAAAAGUAGAGGCAGCUGCAGCCACCGCGGGGCCUCAGUGGGGGACUCUGGGGAACACAGCCAGCCAUCCUGAUGGGGAGGCAGAGCCAGGAAGCUAAGCCAGGGCCCAGCUGCGUCCAACCCAGCCCCCCACCUCGGGUCCCUGACCCCAGCUCGCUGCCCCAUCACCGCCUCUCCCUGGCUCCCAAGGGUGCAGGUGGGCGCAAGGCCCGGCCCCCAUCACAUGUUCCCUCGGCCUCAGAGCUGCCCCUGCUCUCCCACCACAGCCACCCAGAGGCACCCCAUGAAGCUUUUUUCUCAUUCACUCCCAAACCCAAGUGUCCAAGGCUCCAGUCCUAGGAGAACAGUCCCUGGGUCAGCAGCCAGGAGGCGGUCCAUAAGAAUGGGGACAGUGGGCUCUGCCAGGGCUGCCGCACCUGUCCAGACACACAUGUUCUGUUCCUCCUCCUCAUGCAUUUCCAGCCUUUCAACCCUCCCCCACUCUGCGGCUCCCCUCAGCCCCCUUGCAAGUUCAUGGCCUGUCCCUCCCAGACCCCUGCUCCACUGGCCCUUCGACCAGUCCUCCCUUCUGUUCUCUCUUUCCCCUUCCUUCUUCCCUCUCUCUCUCUCUCUCUCUUUCUCUGUGUGUGUGUGUGUGUGUGUGUGUGUGUCUUGUGCUUCCUCAGACCUUUCUCGCUUCUGAGCUUGGUGGCCUGUUCCCUCCAUCUCUCCGAACCUGGCUUCGCCUGUCCCUUUCACUCCACACCCUCUGGCCUUCUGCCUUGAGCUGGGACUGCUUUCUGUCUGUCCGGCCUGCACCCAGCCCCUGCCCACAAAACCCCAGGGACAGCGGUCUCCCCAGCCUGCCCUGCUCAGGCCUUGCCCCCAAACCUGUACUGUCCCGGAGGAGGUUGGGAGGUGGAGGCCCAGCAUCCCGCACAGAUGACACCAUCAAGGGGGGAGCCCUAGGCCUGUCAGGCCCUGGCCCUUCUGCCCCAAAGAGAGGAGAGGCCCCACAUCCCGCCAGAGUCCCAGACACCGGUUUUCCUAGAACCCCCUCACCCCCACUGGCCCACUGCUGGCUAGGUCUCCCCUUAUCCUUCUGGUCCAGCGCAAGGAGGGGCUGCUUCUGAGGUCGGUGGCUGUCUUUCCAUUAAAGAAACACUGUGCAACGUG
RNAcentral lists this small RNA (2270 nucleotides) under Pan troglodytes (chimpanzee). Its description in RNAcentral is "processed transcript". The record is from RNAcentral. Lineage: Eukaryota; Metazoa; Chordata; Mammalia; Primates; Hominidae.